AGCCCCGGAGCCUUUUAGGGCUCAUCUUUAAAUUUGCAUUUUAAUGUGGAACACCUCAGGACUGU
RNAcentral lists this transfer RNA (65 nucleotides) under Anolis trinitatis. RNAcentral's name for it is "tRNA-Cys". The record is from RNAcentral. Lineage: Eukaryota; Metazoa; Chordata; Lepidosauria; Squamata; Anolidae.